This 513-nucleotide ribosomal RNA is filed under the name Cladosporium iridis. RNAcentral describes it as "eukaryotic LSU rRNA". The stretch from base 159 to 312 matches the Rfam family "5.8S ribosomal RNA". The record is from RNAcentral. Lineage: Eukaryota; Fungi; Ascomycota; Dothideomycetes; Cladosporiales; Cladosporiaceae.
UUACAAGAACGCCCGGGCUUCGGCCUGGUUAUUCAUAACCCUUUGUUGUCCGACUCUGUUGCCUCCGGGGCGACCCUGCCUUCGGGCGGGGGCUCCGGGUGGACACUUCAAACUCUUGCGUAACUUUGCAGUCUGAGUAAACUUAAUUAAUAAAUUAAAACUUUUAACAACGGAUCUCUUGGUUCUGGCAUCGAUGAAGAACGCAGCGAAAUGCGAUAAGUAAUGUGAAUUGCAGAAUUCAGUGAAUCAUCGAAUCUUUGAACGCACAUUGCGCCCCCUGGUAUUCCGGGGGGCAUGCCUGUUCGAGCGUCAUUUCACCACUCAAGCCUCGCUUGGUAUUGGGCAACGCGGUCCGCCGCGUGCCUCAAAUCGUCCGGCUGGGUCUUCUGUCCCCUAAGCGUUGUGGAAACUAUUCGCUAAAGGGUGUUCGGGAGGCUACGCCGUAAAACAACCCCAUUUCUAAGGUUGACCUCGGAUCAGGUAGGGAUACCCGCUGAACUUAAGCAUAUCAAU